GACGAACGCUGGCGGCGUGCUUAACACAUGCAAGUCGAACGGAAAGGCCCUGCUUUUGUGGGGUGCUCGAGUGGCGAACGGGUGAGUAACACGUGAGUAACCUGCCCUUGACUUUGGGAUAACUUCAGGAAACUGGGGCUAAUACCGGAUAGGAGCUCCUGCUGCAUGGUGGGCGUUGGAAAGUUUCGGCGGUUGGGGAUGGACUCGCGGCUUAUCAGCUUGUUGGUGGGGUAGUGGCUUACCAAGGCUUUGACGGGUAGCCGGCCUGAGAGGGUGACCGGCCACAUUGGGACUGAGAUACGGCCCAGACUCCUACGGGAGGCAGCAGUGGGGAAUAUUGCACAAUGGGCGGAAGCCUGAGGCAGCAACGCCGCGUGCGGGAUGACGGCCUUCGGGUUGUAAACCGCUUUCGCCUGUGACGAAGCGUGAGUGACGGUAAUGGGUAAAGAAGCACCGGCUAACUACGU
This 467-nucleotide ribosomal RNA is filed under the name uncultured bacterium. Its description in RNAcentral is "partial 16S ribosomal RNA". It matches the Rfam family "Bacterial small subunit ribosomal RNA", at positions 28 to 506 of the family's 1533-position model. The record is from RNAcentral.